GACGAACGCUGGCGGCGUGCUUAACACAUGCAAGUCGAACGAAGUGGCGAACGGGUGAGUAAUACGUGAGUAACCUGCCCUCCUUUUUGGGAUAAGCCUUGGAAACGGGGUCUAAUACCGAAUAAAGGGUGAUGGGCUCGCGGCCUAUCAGCUUGUUUGUUGGGUGAUUGCCUACCCAGGCGGUGACGGGUAGCCGGCCUGAGAGGGUGACCGGCAACAUUGGGACUGAGAUACGGCCCAGACUCGUACGGGAGGGAGCAGUGGGGGAUAUUGGACAAUGGGCGAAAGCCUGAUGCAGCGACGCCGCGUGGGGGAUGAAGGCUUUCGGGGUGUAAACAUCUGUCGCGAUCGAAAGGGUAGGUGGAGAAGAAGCGCCGGCUAACUACGUGCCAGCAGCCGCGGUAAUAC
RNAcentral lists this ribosomal RNA (408 nucleotides) under uncultured bacterium. RNAcentral describes it as "partial 16S ribosomal RNA". It matches the Rfam family "Bacterial small subunit ribosomal RNA", at positions 28 to 526 of the family's 1533-position model. The record is from RNAcentral.